AGGGAGAGCUUGAACCUCUACGUCAUGGUUACUCUUGAGGAGGGAUUUUCUCCUUCUACCACCUCACAUCAAAGUAGAAACAGUGAUUCAAACAAGUCGUCCACCUAAGUGACAGAAUGUUGGCUGAUACUCCGGCUCUGCUGAGAAACCAAGGAAGACUGGACUUCUGUCAUUCUUCUUGGCAGUCUGGCACCUUUGAACAUGCCUACUCUGGGGAGUUUUCUACUAUAAGAGUCCCUAGGGAGGGUAUCAGAAAUUAUUUUUUCCAGUUUUGUUUUUUUUUUAAGUGGUUAUGGCCUCAGCAGGGAAUCUAGGUGCUGUCAACCAAGACAUUUACUUAUAAGUCAUAGAUCUGGAAGGUAGAGAAGAAGAGAAGCAAGCAUUGAGAAGAACUGACUGUGACAAAGGCAGCCCCAGAGACACAUGGCUUCCAGAGCCAGCAGAGAAGGAGACUCUGAAGGUGUAUCCAGGGCUCAUAUUUGUGUUGCCAGAUGUACUGGGUCUCUCUUGGGACUAUGCUCCUGAGUAAAGUGGAUGUUACAUUUGGCCACAAAGCCUCCAAGCCUGGUUCUCCAUCCUCCAAGCAAUGUCAAAAGCUAUCUAGAGUCCUUAAUACAUUCCUUUCCAGCUUAAAUCAGGUGGUUCUUUGGCUAACUACUUAAGAAUCACAGUUGAUCCCUCCAUUUACUAAUGGAAUAUAAUUGCGGGGUUGAAGAAGUCAGAGAGAGACUCCUCAUCAAAGUUACAGGCUAUGGUCUCAAAAGACUCUCAUCACAGGUUGCCUGCAGAUCCUGCAGAAUUUCCUGCUUCCUAUUAUAGAAUAGAACCUGAGAGCUGCUUAGCAUGCCUAAUGCAUUAAUUGUAAGAAGAGGCAAAGUGAAGUUCAUCGGUAGGUGAAAAAUUGGGCAGACAACCUGCCUGUUACUAAAAGCAAUUUCUUAUCAAAUAGGGCAAAGUGAAAAACAGUUAACCAUAGUUUUGGGC
This is a long non-coding RNA of Bos taurus (domestic cattle), 984 nucleotides long. Lineage: Eukaryota; Metazoa; Chordata; Mammalia; Artiodactyla; Bovidae. The record is from Ensembl.